This 244-nucleotide ribosomal RNA is filed under the name uncultured Actinomycetales bacterium. RNAcentral describes it as "partial 16S ribosomal RNA". It matches the Rfam family "Bacterial small subunit ribosomal RNA", at positions 87 to 334 of the family's 1533-position model. The record is from RNAcentral. Lineage: Bacteria; Bacillati; Actinomycetota; Actinomycetes; Actinomycetales.
GGACUCGAGUGGCGAACGGGUGAGUAACACGUGGGUGAUCUGCCCUGCACUUCGGGAUAAGCUUGGGAAACUGGGUCUAAUACCGGAUAGGACCAUCGUUUAGUGUCGGUGGUGGAAAGUUUUUUCGGUGUGGGAUGAGCUCGCGGCCUAUCAGCUUGUUGGUGGGGUAAUGGCCUACCAAGGCGUCGACGGGUAGCCGGCCUGAGAGGGUGUACGGCCACAUUGGGACUGAGAUACGGCCCAG